Molecule: long non-coding RNA, 1612 nt
Organism: Salmo salar (Atlantic salmon)
Lineage: Eukaryota; Metazoa; Chordata; Actinopteri; Salmoniformes; Salmonidae
Source: RefSeq, a predicted model, not a curated record
GAUUAAGCUGAUAAAUACCCAACAGUACUCCCAAGUGAACAACAGUUUAUGGAAAUUUUUGACAUAAACUGGUCUUCAAAGAUUAUCCUUUUCAGUAGAGUCACAUCUAGAACUUAUCCGGGCGUUUUAAUACAAACAUUUGCGGAGUUGGAGCGUGAUGAGGGAUAAUGAAGAUGAAAACCAACAUUUUGGCAUUAAAGUGAAAGUUGAGGAAAAUGUCAAAGAAAAAAUUAUCAUUAUGAUAAUGCAGUACGGUAGACAAAAUAAACAAAUUACUAUUAAUAUUGAUGACCCAAACUUUAACCAGGUUUUCUCGAAAGACAAUUGUAAACUCAAAUUAGACUUCAUAGGUCCUUUUAAUGAAAAUACUGUAUUUAAAACAAUUAUUUUCCUGAAAAAAAAUAUCAUCUUUCAAGAAAGUAACUAUGUGAUUUACAUUAAUAGUUUGUAUGAUUAUGUCAACGUAAUUGUGUAUUUCUGGAAAAAUAAGGAAAAAAUACAAAAUAUAACGGACCCAAUUUAUAUAAUAUCAGGGAGUCAUAUUUCUUUAAUAGAUAGGUAUGACUUCUAUAUUAAAACUGAGCUCAGAAUUAAUGAACACACUAUCCCGUAUGCUAUUCAGGGAGGCAGACUUAAUGUAUCUGAUAUUGUAAUUAAAGGAAAACAUUUAAAUCAUGUCCCAUAUAGUACAUUAGAUAAUAAGGUAUCGAAGAACCUAGAUUUCUGUCUUGCUCUCACUGAUAUAAUCUUUGGAAAUCAAGAAAAACUUCUUUGUAUAAAUAAUAGUUUUGACAUCACUGCUUUAGUUGCGGUAUUAUUUUCAGAGGUAAUCAGAAAUCCAGUGAUGAUAUUUAUUAACCUAAUUGCAAUGACAAUAAAUUCCUUACAUUCUUGGAAUGACUUCCGCCAGAUUAUGCCACCUUUAGCUGGGGGAACCUGGAAAGAUAAACAGAAGUACUGUUCCAAAUUUAUGAAACGACUAAACCUAUUUUUUUCAAAAACAUUUUCUGAAACAUUUUCUGAAAUUAUUUGAACAUGGAAAUUCUUUGAUUAAUUGAAUUUAUUUUAAAAAGUUGUCCUUCAUGGAAGGGGCGGGUGGUGGAGGGUCCAAAUAAAACAAAAUAAAACAUCCCAAAAUGUUAUAAAAUAUCAACAAAUUCAUCUUCAUUAUCCCCCACGUUGUUCCACCUCCGCUUCUGGGAGGAGCCAGGCGGGGCCACAGAGCGGACUCCCCCAUCUCAUCCCACCAACUCUGUCAGUCCACCAGGCCCCACAAUGCAGCCUCCACACCACUGCAGUAACAGCCAUAUCUUCCCAUCACAAAGCUUCAGUACUGUCUCAAUGUGUUGAAGUACCAUCCAGGAUCCUGUGGCAACGUCAAUGUGAAACAGCAUUGACCCGUGAUCACCACCAACCAGGGCUCCACAGCGGUAUCCUUGGACACCCAGUGAAUCCAGAGAGAGCACACCAGGCAGCAUUGAGCACUUUGAUGAGAUUGGCUGUUCAGCAGGAAGAUUCAUCUGGCUACACAGAAGGGAUGAUGGCUCUGACCAAUAAAAUUCUAUUUUUGAAACUAUAUAACUGAAUAAACUAUGAUUUAACUAAAAACAUA